This 467-nucleotide ribosomal RNA is filed under the name uncultured bacterium. RNAcentral's name for it is "partial 16S ribosomal RNA". It matches the Rfam family "Bacterial small subunit ribosomal RNA", at positions 28 to 507 of the family's 1533-position model. The record is from RNAcentral.
GACGAACGCUGGCGGCGUGCUUAACGCAUGCAAGUCGAACGAUGACGACCGAGCUUGCUCGGUCUGAUUAGUGGCGAACGGGUGAGUAACACGUGAGCAACCUGCCCUUCACUCUGGGAUAACCUCGGGAAAUCGGGGCUAAUACCGGAUAUGAGCUCCUGUCGCAUGGCGGGUGUUGGAAAGUUUUUCGGUGAAGGAUGGGCUCGCGGCCUAUCAGUUUGUUGGUGAGGUAGUGGCUCACCAAGGCGAUGACGGGUAGCCGGCCUGAGAGGGCGACCGGCCACACUGGGACUGAGACACGGCCCAGACUCCUACGGGAGGCAGCAGUGGGGAAUAUUGCACAAUGGGCGAAAGCCUGAUGCAGCGACGCCGCGUGAGGGAUGACGGCCUUCGGGUUGUAAACCUCUUUCAGCAGGGAAGAAGCGAAAGUGACGGUACCUGCAGAAGAAGCGCCGGCUAACUACGUG